GACCGUCCCAGUUCGGAUCGCAGGCUGCAACCCGCCUGCGUGAAGUUGGAAUCGCUAGUAAUCGCGGAUCAGCAUGCCGCGGUGAAUACGUUCCCGGGCCUUGUACACACCGCCCGUCACACCAUGAGAGUCGGGAACACCCGAAGUCCGUAGCCUAACCGCAAGGGGGCGCGGCCGAAGGUGGGUUCGAUAAUUGGGGUGAAGUCGUAACAAGGUAUC
RNAcentral lists this ribosomal RNA (219 nucleotides) under uncultured bacterium. Its description in RNAcentral is "partial 16S ribosomal RNA". It matches the Rfam family "Bacterial small subunit ribosomal RNA", at positions 1281 to 1500 of the family's 1533-position model. The record is from RNAcentral.